UUCAUGGGGACCAAAGAAUUGGGAAACGAUUUCGGCUCGUUUUUUGAAGAUAACUUCCCCCAUGU
This 65-nucleotide transfer RNA is filed under the name Enchiridium sp. MTA_2015. Its description in RNAcentral is "tRNA-Arg". The record is from RNAcentral. Lineage: Eukaryota; Metazoa; Platyhelminthes; Polycladida; Prosthiostomidae.